Molecule: ribosomal RNA, 253 nt
Filed under: uncultured bacterium
Lineage: Bacteria
Description: partial 16S ribosomal RNA
Rfam family: Bacterial small subunit ribosomal RNA
Source: RNAcentral
UACGUAGGGUGCAAGCGUUGUCCGGAAUUAUUGGGCGUAAAGAGCUCGUAGGCGGUCUGUCGCGUCGAAUGUGAAAACCCGGGGCUCAACCCCGGGCCUGCAGUGGGUACGGGCAGACUAGAGUGCGGUAGGGGAGACUGGAAUUCCUGGUGUAGCGGUGAAAUGCGCAGAUAUCAGGAGGAAUACCGAUGGCGAAGGCAGGUCUCUGGGCUAACACUGACGCUCAUGCACGAAAGCGUGGGGAGCAAACAGG